UCCUUAGUGGUGUAGAGGUAACAUCCGAGUCUCUCACACUCGUGCCCGGGGUUCGAUUCCCCGCUAGGGAG
This is a non-coding RNA of Trichophyton equinum CBS 127.97, 71 nucleotides long. The record is from Rfam. Lineage: Eukaryota; Fungi; Ascomycota; Eurotiomycetes; Onygenales; Arthrodermataceae.